UUUCCGUAGGUGAACCUGCGGAAGGAUCAUUAUUGUAUAACCGAGGUGCGAGGGCUGUCGCUGACCCGAAAGGUCGUGCACGCCCGAGUGCCCUCACACACAUCCAUCUCACCCCUACGUGCACCACCGCGUGGGUCCCCCUUUGGCUUGUUCGGAGGGGGGCUUACGUUUUCACACCAACUUUGUAUGCAGUGUAGAAUGUAUUUUUUGUUUUUGCGAUCACGCAAUCAAUACAACUUUCAACAACGGAUCUCUUGGCUCUC
This 263-nucleotide unclassified non-coding RNA is filed under the name plant metagenome. RNAcentral describes it as "partial contains small subunit ribosomal RNA, internal transcribed spacer 1, and 5.8S ribosomal RNA". The record is from RNAcentral.